AGCUAGCCCUGACAGAAGCGGUAUCCUUUUUCUGGCUUCUUUAGCCAGGAAAAGAUACAAGUGGAUGGCAGGAACGUCU
RNAcentral lists this small RNA (79 nucleotides) under Flavobacterium cheongpyeongense. Its description in RNAcentral is "Flavo-1 RNA". It matches the Rfam family "Flavo-1 RNA". Lineage: Bacteria; Pseudomonadati; Bacteroidota; Flavobacteriia; Flavobacteriales; Flavobacteriaceae. The record is from Rfam by way of RNAcentral.